UACAGAGGUCCCCAGCGUUGUUCGGAUUUACUGGGCGUAAAGGGCGCGUAGGUGGCCUUCUAAGUCUGAUGUGAAAGCUCUGAGCUUAACUCAGAAAUGGCAUUAGAUACUAGUUUGCUUGAGGAUUGGAGGGGAGAUUGGAAUUCUUGGUGUAGCAGUGAAAUGCGUAGAUAUCAAGAGGAACACCAGUGGCGAAGGCGAAUCUCUGGACAAUUCCUGACACUGAUGCUCGAAAGCUAGGGGAGCAAACGGG
This 253-nucleotide ribosomal RNA is filed under the name uncultured bacterium. RNAcentral's name for it is "partial 16S ribosomal RNA". It matches the Rfam family "Bacterial small subunit ribosomal RNA", at positions 524 to 776 of the family's 1533-position model. The record is from RNAcentral.